AUGGAUGACAACCGCUGUCUGAUAGUUAGUUGGAACGUACGUGGGCUCAAUAUGCCAGCCAAACGUGACGCUAUCUGUGAAGCUGUCGCGGCGCAUCGACCAGCGAUUCUUUGUCUCCAGGAGACGAAAAUCAACACCUGGUCACCAGCUCUAGUAAGGGAUAUAGGAGGUAGCAGGUUAGCCGACUGCAUAGUGUUGCCUGCGAUUGGUUCCGGAGGCGGGGUGGCCAUUCUUCGGGACAGUGAGAUCGUCUCGAUCGUGUCCCAGGCAGUAGGAGAAUUCGCCAUCACUACCAAAGUAACGGUCAACCAAUCGGCCACUGCUUUUUGGCUAACUGUGGUCUAUGGACCGGCAGAGGACGCUCGGAAGGAUGUGUUCCUUCUGGAGCUGGCAAGAUCUUCCCCCCUCCUGGUGAGCCUUGGCUCCUCACCGGUGAUUUCAACGUUAUAUACGAAGCUAGAGAUAAGAACAACUUCAACCUUAAUCGGCGCAUCAUGGGAAAGUUUAGGGCGGCACUAG
RNAcentral lists this ribosomal RNA (519 nucleotides) under Triticum aestivum (bread wheat). Its description in RNAcentral is "partial small subunit ribosomal RNA". The record is from RNAcentral. Lineage: Eukaryota; Viridiplantae; Streptophyta; Magnoliopsida; Poales; Poaceae.